AAUAAGGUCAGCUAAAUAAGCUUUUGGGCCCAUA
Molecule: transfer RNA, 34 nt
Filed under: Coregonus baerii
Lineage: Eukaryota; Metazoa; Chordata; Actinopteri; Salmoniformes; Salmonidae
Description: partial tRNA-Met
Source: RNAcentral